Molecule: transfer RNA, 57 nt
Filed under: Bos taurus (domestic cattle)
Lineage: Eukaryota; Metazoa; Chordata; Mammalia; Artiodactyla; Bovidae
Also listed under: 2 other names
Rfam family: tRNA
About the family: Transfer RNA (tRNA) molecules are approximately 80 nucleotides in length.
Source: Rfam by way of RNAcentral
UGGCUCUGAUGGUAAAGCAUCUGCCUGCAAUGCAGGAGAACCAGGUUCAACCCCUGG